CGGCAACAGCUCAAAUUUGAAAUCUGGAGCCUUCGGCUUCCGAGUUGUAAUUUGUAGAGGAUGUUUCUGGCGACGUGCCUUCCGAGUUCCCUGGAACGGGACGCCAUAGAGGGUGAGAGCCCCGUACGGUUGGAUGCCUAGCCUCUGUGAAACUCCUUCGAC
RNAcentral lists this ribosomal RNA (162 nucleotides) under Nectria sp. (in: ascomycete fungi). RNAcentral's name for it is "Nectria sp. (in: Fungi) partial large subunit ribosomal RNA". It matches the Rfam family "Eukaryotic large subunit ribosomal RNA", at positions 99 to 261 of the family's 3401-position model. The record is from RNAcentral. Lineage: Eukaryota; Fungi; Ascomycota; Sordariomycetes; Hypocreales; Nectriaceae.